GUGGUACGAGUCGGUGCCUUCCGGGAUAGUCCGUGGGUCCCGGCAGAGUCUCGGUGCGAUUACGGGAUUUCCGGCGUAUUACGACGAUCGGUUUGGGAAACCGAUUCUUGUGGGUUUAUUUAUGGGGUUAUACUUUUAGGGUUUCUUAGUUGUGGGUUAGACACUAACCCAGUGGACCCUCCUUAGGUCCGGUUGACGUUCUUUUGCAGUCAGGAGACAGGCGCGACAGUUGUACAGGUGGGUACUUCGAUCCGACGUUGGUACAGUGGUGCACGCUCGGUGAUGGUUUCUUACCCUUGCUCUUUUGUUAUUAUCCAUGCUUAUAUUAUAUGUUGAGCUUUGCACCUCUAUUAUUUACAUUACACCCACGUUGUUUGAUUAUACUCUACUCAGAUGUUUCCAUGCUUAGUAUCAUGUGUAGGAGUAUAGUCUAUCUGUAUGUGAUACCAUGUUUCCUUGUUGCUCUACUUAGCUAUUCUGCAUACCCUGAUUCAUGUUUAUAGUAGAGCGAUUUCGUGAUUAUCUAUGAGAUCAGCGAUCUAGUCGGUCGAUUCUAGUAUUCGGUAUUUGUGACCUAUUCGGUGAGUUCCUCGACCUUUGUUGUCUGAUGACAGUUGAGGUCGGUAUACCGUGAAGGGUGGAAUUGUCGGUUAGUUGCCGACGGAUGAUUAUACUUUACUCAUAUCCUAUACUUGUGACGUGAUUGGUCGAGUUUCAUAUCCUAUACUUGUGACAUGAUUGGUCGAGUUUCAUAUCCUGUACUUGUGACGUGAUUGGUCGAGUUUCAUAUCCUAGUUGAUCUGAGUGGUCAGUCCUUGUGGUUCAUUGAGCAGUAUUUGCAUAUGUUUGAGAGGAUGUCGAUGUUGUCCUAUCCUAGUUGACCUGAGUGGUCGGUUCUUGUGCUUCUUUACAGUUGACGACCUAUGCGGUCGAUGGGCCCUGGGGGCCAGGAUUGUCGGCUGGUUGCCGACGGUUGAUUAUUGAGCAUAUUGCAUUGAUCGCCCGAUACUCGUCGCAUUUCACGAACACUGGCGGUGUGAUCCACCGCAAGGAGUGUUCUUUUCCGGAAAAGUGGUUGAAUGGUGACAACCCGUGAGCCCUAGAGGGGUUAUAUGCACUGGAGAGUAGUAGUGGCACUGGCUUGAGGUCUGCGGUGCUGACCAAGAGAGCAUUGGUUUCAGAUUGGGUACUUUUGGACUUCUUGACCGGUUAACGCAUAUGUAUAUAGUAGCAGUCGUUGCAUGCAUACUUACAGUUCUUACUUUAUAGUUGUCUUGCUGCUAUAGUAGAUAUUCAUGUAUGCUUUCGGUUCCGGUUACAGUAGCGGUAGCCGUUAUUCAGUCUAGUUCUUACUUUCUGUCAGUUUAUUGCUACUGUAUUUAGUAUAUCUGCUCAUUACCUUAUACAUUUCUUUCGUUUACUAUUGUUCCUACUGUAUUUUCACUGACCCGUGUUGUUGUAUAGCUCUUCCUGAUCCGGUGAGUACUCCUCGCCUUCUUCGGCUUGCGGUACCCACUGGGAGGGGAGACAUGUUUACAUGUUCUCACAUCCCUCACCAUUUUUUAGGUAUCGCAGGCGAUGUGUAUUGGGACGAGAUGCGAGAUACGUACGUAGCGGUCGAUAGAUCUUCCGACCCAGGUUGUUCGGUUUAGUUUCUACCCUUACUAUUCUGUUGACAUAGUUUAGAUAGUUUACCUGGUUCAAUAUUUUUAUUACAUUUGAAUAUAUGAAUUUUCAUGAAUGUAAUAAAAGGAUUUUUGAAUUUUGUAAAAUAAAAGGUUUUCUACCCCUCGUGGUAGCGUUUUAUAAAAAUAAAGUUCCUGUGUAGGGAACAGUUUUCAAAAGGUUUUCUGUGGAUUUUGUAUCUUAGUAUUUCAAAACCUGUUUAUGUGGUUGAAAAUAUUUUAACUGAUAGAUGUGGAUUUAUAUCUAAAUAUCGAUUGUAUUAAUGUGAACCUGUGGUGAAUGGUGUAUGAAUGUAUAUCUGUUGGUCAUUUGUAUGAUCAUUUGGUUGUGGUUGUAUAAUAUUUGAACUCUUGUACUUGUGCGACGCCGUACAAAUACAGGGGAGACUCUGUCCGUGUGAACAGUGGAUUUUCUGUAUUUGUGGCAGAUCUGGCAUACUCAGGGGUCAGGUUUUCAAAAAAAAAAAAAUUCAGACGCUUUUCCGCUAUCUUUUAAACUGAAAGGGACCCUGGGGCGUGACAAAAGUAGAAGUAGGGAAGGUAGAGACACAAGAGGAGUUGUGUAUUAUAGUCCAAUUUUUCUAAGUAAUGGAGUGCUUAGUUUUUUGGAAAUCUCUGCCUUUAUCUUUUCUCUCAUUUUUGCAUACUUAUUCAUAGGGCGUGGAGGU
RNAcentral lists this long non-coding RNA (2353 nucleotides) under Ananas comosus (pineapple). RNAcentral's name for it is "long non-coding RNA (ACOM_LNC044386)". The record is from RNAcentral. Lineage: Eukaryota; Viridiplantae; Streptophyta; Magnoliopsida; Poales; Bromeliaceae.